UGUCUAGGGGCUCAAACCUAAAGAACCUAAAUAUCUAAACGGAGAAAUUCAAUACUAUCGUCAAACAUAGUGUGCACUUUUCUCUUAGUAAGACGCCGUGAUCCAUUAGAAAUUGAUGCAUACAAAAUGUAUAUUGGGUCAUCAAUAGACCAGCAUGAAGUUUAUCGGAACAAAUGGCAUGAUCUUUCACGGUCGUGUGUAUUGUCUGGUAAGCAUGUUGUGUUACUGUAAUGACUGUCUGAUGGAUUUUAAAGAUCACUAUCAAUGAUGUUAAGGCAUCACUCGUUUCGCGAUGAGAAUUCGAUAUGUGUGUCUGAUCAACGGCGGUUAAAUUUGGGAUACCUUUUGGACCCGUCUUGAAACACGGACCAAGGAGUCUAUCUAGUAUGCGAGUAAAUGGAUAGUUUAUGAAAUCUAUUUGCGUAAUAAACUUGACUGUUUUUUAUGGGAUUACGAGAUUAGCUUUUAACGACUAGUCUCUUCCAUCUCGGGGUAUUUUUAUCAACAUAUGCUUGCAUAUGGAAAAUAUACCAUGAGCACACUGGAUACGACCCGAAAGAUGGUGAACUAUGCCUGAUCAGGUCGAAGUCAGGGGAAACCCUGAUGGAGGACCGAAGCAGUUCUGACGUGCAAAUCGAUUGUCAGAAUUGGGCAUAGGGGCGAAAGACCAAUCGAACCAUC
This 681-nucleotide ribosomal RNA is filed under the name Dicrotendipes sp. 3XL. Its description in RNAcentral is "partial 28S ribosomal RNA". It matches the Rfam family "Eukaryotic large subunit ribosomal RNA", at positions 386 to 944 of the family's 3401-position model. Lineage: Eukaryota; Metazoa; Arthropoda; Insecta; Diptera; Chironomidae. The record is from RNAcentral.